CGAAGGUCACACGACAUGUCGUCUCAGUGUUUACCUUGGGUACGGACAGCUUCAGGCUCUUGACGGGCUGCGGCUGCUCAAACACCUGGACCUCCUCGACGAUGUGGGCCCCGGUCUGCAGCAGCACCGCUUUGUAGAUGUUGAGAGUGACCUCAGCUCUGCAGGAGGAGUCACGGUCGGUCGUCAGAGGUCGCUUGCUCACCUUGUUCCUCAGGAUGAUGGCGUCCUCGCGGCUAACGUCCAGGGCUAACACAGCAUCCCGGGCGCCGACGUACAGCAUGUCUCCACCCUCGCUGAGAAGCAGAGUGGUGGUGUUGCUGACAUCGUGGCUACUGAAGCGGGCUCCACCCACCUGGAGCUCCGCCCAGAUUCCCCCUCUUAGUGCUUAACGAGUCAACAUGCAUCAGACCCCACCCCCAGGGCCGUGGUCUUCUUCUUCUCUGUACUCACCUGUAGGGAAGGAGACUCUGGGAGUCAG
Long non-coding RNA from Seriola aureovittata, 478 nucleotides. RefSeq lists it as uncharacterized. The transcript is spliced from 3 exons. The record is from RefSeq and is a predicted model, not a curated record. NCBI's taxonomy places the organism in Eukaryota, Metazoa, Chordata, Actinopteri, Carangiformes, Carangidae.